Molecule: unclassified non-coding RNA, 516 nt
Filed under: Athalia rosae (coleseed sawfly)
Lineage: Eukaryota; Metazoa; Arthropoda; Insecta; Hymenoptera; Athaliidae
Description: misc RNA ENSAEAG00005008766.1
Source: RNAcentral
UAACCGCCAAUCAGUUAGUUUGGAAUAGAUUGAAUUAUGAAGUAAGAAAUACUGAUGAACCCACGACGUUUUGAAAUAGUGAAUACAAUGUUUCAAUGGAGAUAAUUCUGAUAAAAACUCCUGCCAAUGAGCAGGCAGCCCGUUUAUUGAGAGACAGGUUCUAAAUUUAUUAAUAAAUCAGCAUCACACAUACCGUUCUGCAAACUGCAAGCAUUCUCUACGUAGAAUUGUUCACAAAACUGAGAAGCAUUAUGAGAAUUGUUCAUUUGAUUAACAAUAAUUGGACACCUGAGGAUAAUUGGCAGUCUGUAAAAAAAACCCCGCCCUGCAUCUGGAACACGAUCACCGACAUUGUGCAUUAUAUUUGUGAAUCGAAUGAGAGUACCAAACAUUCUUUAUAGCGUGUAGCCAUAGAUCACGUACUGAACGGAAUAAUUAGGAUAUUAUUGUUUUGUAGAACCUCUAUCAUACCUAUGUGCUAUUAAUGUCAUUAUAAAACAUUUGUUGUAAAGAAAC